This 253-nucleotide ribosomal RNA is filed under the name uncultured bacterium. RNAcentral's name for it is "partial 16S ribosomal RNA". It matches the Rfam family "Bacterial small subunit ribosomal RNA", at positions 524 to 776 of the family's 1533-position model. The record is from RNAcentral.
UACGUAGGGUGCGAGCGUUAAUCGGAAUUACUGGGCGUAAAGCGUGCGCAGGCGGCUUUGCAAGACAGAUGUGAAAUCCCCGGGCUUAACCUGGGAACUGCAUUUGUGACUGCAUGGCUGGAGUGUGGCAGAGGGGGAUGGAAUUCCGCGUGUAGCAGUGAAAUGCGUAGAUAUGCGGAGGAACACCGAUGGCGAAGGCAAUCCCCUGGGCCUGCACUGACGCUCAUGCACGAAAGCGUGGGGAGCAAACAGG